AGGGAGCUUAUUGAGAUUGUCUGGAAGAGCCUCACCUAAUCCCAUGAGCUUCUGAAAUCAGCCAAACUUUCUCUGGCUGGUGGCAGAAGGCAGAAAGAGACAUGAGAGCGGUGCUCCCCCUGGGCUGGCCCAGGAAGAAGCAGACGUCUGAUGGAGAGCACUGACCUCUCACAGGGAUGCUGGGGCCACGCUCGGCCCUGACGGGGAGCCAGACAACAGGGAUCUCUGUGCCACAAGCAAGGCACCACAGCCAGCAACCUCAAUGCGCUCGGCAGCCAAUUCUUCCCCAGAAAUUUCUGAGGGAAAUGUGGUCUGCAACACCUGAACUGCACCUUCGGGAAACCUUGAGUAGAGGAUCCCAUGAUGUUUCCACCCAGAAAUGCAAACCAUGACUGGCAAUCACCUUAAAGUUGUUCCAUAUGUUUACCCAUGGCGUUAAUCAUCACCAUGAUGGAAUGGGCGAAAGAAAUGAGAAUGAACUCUUAGGACAACCUGGUCAUUCAGUGCAGUGGGCUGCAUCCCUGUUUUCUGUCUCCCUGUGAUGAUGGACACAGGCAACCUCCCCCUCCCGACCAGGCUCACCAUGAUACCUGGCACCUGGGCACACACGGGGCCCGUGACGCCUGUGUGUUAAGUGACUGUGCCAUCUAGUCCUUUCAUGCAGGUGUGAUGACUCUCUUCCUAACCUCCCUACCCUACCUGUCACUCUGAUAACCAGGGCGCCCAUGCCAGUUAGUCGCCAUCCCAUGCCAGGACAGUGCCCCCCACCCCCCGCUCCCAGCACGCCUCCUGUGUUCCAUUUACCUGGCACCUGACACUCUGCCUGGUACCAAGUGGGCUCCCAGUAACCACAUGUGGAAUGAACUGCCACAGGCGAAAAGGGAAAUGAGGAGGAGGGGAAGGAAGGGGCUGGAUGGCUGAGAGUUCCCUUGGUCACAGAUGAGCCCCACUCUGUCUGUUUAUUAAAUCCCUGCUGCCGAGCAGGGUGCCAAAUAAAGAUACCC
Molecule: long non-coding RNA, 1004 nt
Organism: Bubalus bubalis (water buffalo)
Lineage: Eukaryota; Metazoa; Chordata; Mammalia; Artiodactyla; Bovidae
Exons: 2
Source: RefSeq, a predicted model, not a curated record